CUUGCCCUACGGGGGGCAGCAGUGGGGAAUAUUGCACAAUGGGGGAAACCCUGAUGCAGCGACGCCGCGUGAGUGAAGAAGUAUCUCGGUACGUAAAGCUCUAUCAGCAGGGAAGAAAAUGACGGUACCUGACUAAGAAGCCCCGGCUAACUACGUGCCAGCAGCCGCGGUAAUACGUAGGGGGCAAGCGUUAUCCGGAUUUACUGGGUGUAAAGGGAGCGUAGACGGCGAAGAAAGUCUGAAGUGAAAGCCCGCGGCUCAACCGCGGAAUGGCUUUGGAAACUUUUUUGCUGGAGUACCGGAGG
RNAcentral lists this ribosomal RNA (305 nucleotides) under uncultured bacterium. Its description in RNAcentral is "bacterial SSU rRNA". It matches the Rfam family "Bacterial small subunit ribosomal RNA", at positions 333 to 655 of the family's 1533-position model. The record is from RNAcentral.